This 210-nucleotide long non-coding RNA is filed under the name Mytilus galloprovincialis (Mediterranean mussel). The record is from RNAcentral. Lineage: Eukaryota; Metazoa; Mollusca; Bivalvia; Mytilida; Mytilidae.
UGCACAUUUCCUUCAUUUCCUGUGUUACUUUCAUUUACAUGAUCUUACAUCUUGUAUAUAUGCUUUACAUCAACUAGAACAAACAAGUUUAGAAUGCCAUAAAAAUGGUACUAGAAUGUCUGUCGUGACAUUUCUUGGCAUAGCUUAUCAGAUGAUAGGUGAGACCAGCUUAGCAAGACAACAGUUCUACUUAGCUGACCAAAUUAGACA